Non-coding RNA from Nothobranchius furzeri (turquoise killifish), 401 nucleotides. Lineage: Eukaryota; Metazoa; Chordata; Actinopteri; Cyprinodontiformes; Nothobranchiidae. The record is from RefSeq and is a predicted model, not a curated record.
GAUAUUAACAAUUAAAUAAGUAUGUGAUUACAUCAUGACAUCAUGAAGGAGGCUACUGAUUCUGGCCCUGUGACACUUGGUGGUGACGUGUGAGCUGAUUCACCUGGACACUCAGCAAAAUAUGGACUCUACAUCAAGAGGCAGGCACACGUUAAUAACUCUAUAAGAGCACAUAAGCCUGGCUGAUCACCUGAUAACUCCUGUCAUCUGGUUAUGACAGCAUGAGGAUGUCCUCACACACCUGUAACCUAUCAGCUCAUCUGGCAGAAUAGAGAGAGAAGAGACAACACCACAUCUCCUGUUCCUGGAAAGCCUUCAGCCAUCCUUCGAUGACUGAGAACCUCCAUCAGCUCUGUCUCCUGUCUGCCUACAAUUAUUAUAAUAAAUAUUGUGUUUGACAA